Molecule: unclassified non-coding RNA, 247 nt
Filed under: uncultured Sordariomycetes
Lineage: Eukaryota; Fungi; Ascomycota; Sordariomycetes
Description: sequence contains ITS2
Source: RNAcentral
AACGCACAUUGCGCCCGCUAGUAUUCUGGCGGGCAUGCCUGUUCGAGCGUCAUUUCAACCAUCAAGCCCCAGGCUUGUGUUGGAGCCCUGCGGCCGUCCGCAGCCUCCUAAAAUUAGUGGCGGGCUCGCUAUCACACCGAGUGCAGUAGUUUUCUCUUCGCUCUGGCCGUGUAGCGGGUUCCGGCCGUGAAACCCCCCACAUUCUAAGGUUGACCUCGGAUCAGGUAGGAAUACCCGCUGAACUUAA